UCUAGUUUAAGCGGCUAAUUACGACUACGUUAGUUUGUCGAGCAGUAUACAGCCGAAAACCGAGAUUUAGAGUUUUUGUUGAAUGACCAGUUGUAUUGUGAUAUCAGACAUGUAGCCUCCACCACUGGUGAGUGAAUCAUGCGGGGGUGGAAAAAGAACCCUUCAAUUGGUAUCUGACAGAUGUAUGUGUGGCUCGGGUGACGGUUAAUAAGAACGAGGUUGGAUGCUGCCAGGUGAUGAGUAUUGGACAAAUAGUACAUAGUAAAUCAGUAAAAUGGAAAAUUAAAAAACAUCAAAAUUCAGCAGAUAAGUGAUAUUAUUUAUCGAGAAAAUAAUUGAGAGCUAAAAC
Long non-coding RNA from Diorhabda sublineata, 349 nucleotides. RefSeq lists it as uncharacterized. The record is from RefSeq and is a predicted model, not a curated record. The transcript is spliced from 3 exons. Lineage: Eukaryota; Metazoa; Arthropoda; Insecta; Coleoptera; Chrysomelidae.